CAUGUCUAUUUUUGUCGAAUGUUUACUUUGAAUCACGAGGGUUGAAAUUAUGACAAUUAUGUUCCUGAGAAUGAUUACUUCCUUACAGAGUUACCGUUAGUGAUGCUCAGAUCAAAAUGAGUAUAUCUUUUAGAAGUUUUGAUUGAAACAUAAUUAAUAGUGAUUAUAGAAACUAGAGAGAAAUAGUGAAGGUUAUGGUUUGUAAACCUUGGCCUCCAAAUCUCUUGUACAGAGAUGGUGAAAAUACUUAUGGGGAAAAAAUCCUUCCAAUUCUGAACCCCCUCUCACUCUCCUUGUUUCUAUUUUCAGAAAUUCUCGUUGGGGAAGGCUUGUUGAUGGCUUUGAGGACCCCUUAAACCUGAGUCAAUUCCUGAGUAAAAUUAUACAAUACAAGAUGUAUAAGACGCUCAUACAUCAACUUCUUGUAGACACGUGAGACGAAGGCAAUGAGCACGGAUACAUUGGCUGUUUAUUUCAGAGGCAGAAAAUGCUAAAUCAAAAGCCUUUCCCAAGUCAAUGAAUCACAUGAAAGCAAACCAAGAGUAUGCCUGCAAUGGGAUAUGGUCUAUGGUCUUCAAGAACUGUUACACUUUGCUACAACAAGAAAGAAUAAUGAGUUAUUAAAGUGUCCAAUCCAAAACAAAUCUUGAAAUACAAGUCCAAAGUUGUUCAUAUAUCAAUACUCAUUCAAAGUUGAGAUGAAUACCUCAGCAUCGACGAGGUGUUUUCAGACCACAUUUAGCGGGCAAGGCCAAUGCAUUUUUUGGGUUGAUCCCAGCUGCAGGUAAUAGAGACUUGUAACUGCAAAGACAAGGCAGAUUGGCUUGCUUAAUGAUUGCACAACAUCUCUUCGUUGGCGGUGGCGGGUAUCUCCCAGUAAUCGCUGCACGGCACAAGUUCAGCCUAGAUGUUUCAACGUUACAUAUCACAACAGCUUGGGCACCACCCAACAAGGCAAUGAGCAGUGCUGCUACCAGCCACUUCACCAAAGCUUUGCCACUAGCCUGACCCAUACUUUCCUUAACCAGGUAGAACUCAGAAGCAGUGAAUUAGCUAGGUCUAGCUGAUAAUGUUCUCAUGUCUGAAUGUUAAUUUAUAGAGAAUUCUUAGUGUUGUGUUGGAACAUUUUGCCUUAGUUUAGUUUAGCAUCAAAAGUUCUCUUUGUUUUAGGUGUGUCAUGUGAAGCCAGACUGUAGAGAGGUUCACGAGAUGGGUUUACUUGAAAAUUAAAAGGAGGGAUCAUAAUCAUAAGCAAGCAAACAAACAAAACUUAAUCUGGCCCAUCACUUGCUAACAAACAAAAAUGGGUUAUUUUGUUUGAGAGUCACCAAGCAACUUAAUUAUUCUUUAUGUCUUCCUGCAAUAGUUUGCUCUUGUUAGGUUUUCAUGGUCAGAGAUUGCUUGCUUACUGGAUGCUAGCUAGCCCGUGAAAGCAUAUUACUGAAUUAGAAAAAGGAAUCGUUUUGUUUUGAAGUGAAGCUAGCAGAUUAACAAUGCAAAGCUAUUUGUUGUAUUACUAGGCCCCCGGAAUUGCUGGAAUGAUUGGACACGCGAAUGAAAAUGAGUAUGAAUUUGGUUGAACAAAA
Prosopis cineraria is the source of this 1586-nucleotide long non-coding RNA. RefSeq lists it as uncharacterized. The transcript is spliced from 2 exons. The record is from RefSeq and is a predicted model, not a curated record. Lineage: Eukaryota; Viridiplantae; Streptophyta; Magnoliopsida; Fabales; Fabaceae.